AAGUCGUAACAAGGUUUCCGUAGGUGAACCUGCGGAAGGAUCAUUAAUCAGUGGAUCCGGCGGGGAAACCCCUCUCCCCCGAGAGGGGGUCGCCUCGCCGGGUAGACCUCCACCCGUGCUUACCUACUCUUGUUGCUUUGGCGGGCCGUGGCCUCCACUACGGGCUCUGCUCGUACGUGCCCGCCAGAGGACCAAACUCUGAAUAUUAGUGAUGUCUGAGAACUAUUUAAUAGUUAAAACUUUCAACAACGGAUCUCUUGGUUCUG
RNAcentral lists this unclassified non-coding RNA (266 nucleotides) under air metagenome. RNAcentral's name for it is "partial contains small subunit ribosomal RNA, internal transcribed spacer 1, and 5.8S ribosomal RNA". The stretch from base 1 to 46 matches the Rfam family "Eukaryotic small subunit ribosomal RNA", at positions 1786 to 1831 of the family's 1831-position model. The record is from RNAcentral.